This 253-nucleotide ribosomal RNA is filed under the name uncultured bacterium. RNAcentral describes it as "partial 16S ribosomal RNA". It matches the Rfam family "Bacterial small subunit ribosomal RNA", at positions 524 to 776 of the family's 1533-position model. The record is from RNAcentral.
UACGGAGGGCGCAAGCGUUAUCCGGAUUUACUGGGUUUAAAGGGCGCGCAGGCGGAUAUGUAAGUCAGUGGUGAAAUCUCCGGGCUUAACCCGGAAACUGCCGUUGAUACUAUAUAUCUUGAAUGCUGUGGAGGUAAGCAGAAUAUGUCAUGUAGCGGUGAAAUGCUUAGAGAUGACAUAGAAUACCUAUUGCGAAGGCAGCUUACUACGCAGAUAUUGACGCUCAUGCACGAAAGCGUGGGGAGCAAACAGG